This 448-nucleotide ribosomal RNA is filed under the name uncultured fungus. Its description in RNAcentral is "eukaryotic LSU rRNA". The stretch from base 72 to 225 matches the Rfam family "5.8S ribosomal RNA". The record is from RNAcentral. Lineage: Eukaryota; Fungi.
GGCGGACGUCUGCCGCUGGCACCAAACUCUUGUUGUUUAUCGUACCGUGUGAGCUCUAGAAAAAUCGUUAAAACUUUCAGCAACGGAUCUCUUGGUUCUGGCAUCGAUGAAGAACGCAGCGAAAUGCGAUAAGUAAUGUGAAUUGCAGAAUUCAGUGAAUCAUCGAAUCUUUGAACGCACAUUGCGCCCGCUAGUAUUCUAGCGGGCAUGCCUGUCCGAGCGUCAUUUCUACCCUCUAGCGCUGUCCGCUAGGUGUUGGGGCCCUGCAGGCCGUCCCCUGCAGGCCCUGAAAGUCAGCGGCGGGACCGCCGGUGUUUCGAGCGCAGUAGCACACUUACGCCCUGGAGCACCGGCGGCCGCUGGCCGUUAAACCCCCAGACCACACAAGGUUGACCUCGGAUCAGGUAGGACCACCCGCUGAACUUAAGCAUAUCAAUAAGCGGAGGAA